This 86-nucleotide transfer RNA is filed under the name Puniceicoccales bacterium. RNAcentral describes it as "tRNA-Tyr". It matches the Rfam family "tRNA". From Rfam's summary of the family: Transfer RNA (tRNA) molecules are approximately 80 nucleotides in length. Their secondary structure includes four short double-helical elements and three loops (D, anti-codon, and T loops). The record is from RNAcentral. Lineage: Bacteria; Pseudomonadati; Verrucomicrobiota; Opitutia; Puniceicoccales.
GGUGAGGUAACCAAGUGGCUAAAGGGUGCAGACUGUAAAUCUGUCGAGAUUUCUCUUCGUGGGUUCGAAUCCCUCCCUCACCACCA